Molecule: ribosomal RNA, 303 nt
Filed under: uncultured bacterium
Lineage: Bacteria
Description: partial 16S ribosomal RNA
Rfam family: Bacterial small subunit ribosomal RNA
Source: RNAcentral
AGCAGCCGCCGCGGGAAUACGAAGGGUGCAAGCGUUAAUCGGAAUUACUGGGCGUAAAGCGUGCGUAGGCGGUGAGUUAAGUCUGCUGUGAAAUCCCCGGGCUCAACCUGGGAAUGGCAGUGGAUACUGGCUCGCUAGAGUGUGUCAGAGGAUGGUGGAAUUCCCGGUGUAGCGGUGAAAUGCGUAGAGAUCGGGAGGAACAUCAGUGGCGAAGGCGGCCAUCUGGGACAACACUGACGCUGAGGCACGAAAGCGUGGGGAGCAAACAGGAUUAGAUACCCGAGUAGUCCCUGUCUCUUAUAC